Long non-coding RNA from Nomia melanderi (Alkali bee), 1510 nucleotides. RefSeq lists it as uncharacterized. The record is from RefSeq and is a predicted model, not a curated record. Lineage: Eukaryota; Metazoa; Arthropoda; Insecta; Hymenoptera; Halictidae.
GUCUCACUCGUCGAUUCCUGUGGAACCAACGGAACCCGUCAACGCAACGCAACGUUCCGAUUCCAACCGUUUGUAAAUUACAGUCGCUCAUCGGACGUUCUGUGUCUCGAACACCAACGACGGAGUUCCUCGAUGACGGUGCACGUGACCGCGCUUAUUCGCGGGCUAUCGGUUCUGCUUUCGCUACUCAUCCCUUUCUUCGUCGCGGCGCAUUACCAAAGCGUACACGCGUAACCGGCGCCGCGCGGCGAGCAGGUUGCGGUCCGCGUCGUGCAAGAUCGGCGGGGAGACGCAAGUUGGACGCGCUCCAUCCCGCCGAAUCACCGUGAAAAAGCAUUUCGAAUUCGACGACACGGAAUCCGGUCUUACAUGCGUGGAAGUCAAUCACAUCCAGCGCUGGGGAAUACGUUGCCAGGCGUGAAAAAGGAGAAAGAAUUCCGCGUAACCAUGAAAUGGUUUUUUAAAUGUUCGCUACAGCUUGGACGUCCAUUUCACGCAGGAUAUCGUCAUUUCGUUUAAGUUUCCUUUCGACGGGAUAUAUCGGAAUAAUCAACCGAUUGCGAUAGUAGUAAGAAAUUAAUAAAGCAAUUGAGAGUAAAAUCGAUAUUGCGCAAGGGUGACUACGAUGGCCUACCCGAGAGAAAGCCGUAGACAGAGAUUUAAACAGCAUGCGACACCAGCUUGACGAGCAAUGAAAGUCGAGUGACUGCAACCUGCGUGAUCAUGACCCUGCACUAACCGCGUGUCAUAACGUUGGCGAAGAAACGAGACACGAAACUGAUGGUCCAUGAAGAAGUAUCUUCCUACUGUCAGUCGAGAAGCUACAAAACAUUCGCGAUUUAUUACAAUGCCCCGGCAUGGAGAGCGUACGCGGCACGCUCGUGACACGCAAACGAGGAAACACCGUAACAAACUUUACUUCCUGGAUGGGUCACGCGCAACUUAUCUUAGCUGGGAGAUACGUUCGAAUUUUUCAUUCGAUCUAUCAAACUUUCAAGUCAUACACGGCCACUAUGUAUGUUCCGCGGAUGUAUUCUUACAACUUAUCUGUUUUAAAUACCACAACGGAAUCACCUAUUCUGAUAGCUGGUAAUGGGUUUUAGUGGUUACCGAUUUCUCCUGUUAAAUAUUAUUCGCAGACUCAUAACAUUCGCAACGAGACUUUAAAAAUAUGAUUCAUUAUUCAGAACGAUUUCUCGUGGUGUUCAUCGAUUUAAUACUUUAACUGACGGUAUCUUGAACAUAUCUUAGACAAUAUUUACAUACCAACGUUUUUAAUGGUUAAGUGGAGUGUUCUGUAUUCAAUACAAUUAAUAUUUCAAUAGUAUAUUUUUCUGUAUUUUGAUACAGAUAUUCAGAUUAUGUGUGAUGAAUAAUUAAAAGUAGGUCACUGUAAACAACAAUAAAAUACAGUUAUUUUAAAAAAUCUUAAAAAUAAUGAAACUCAUUUCAUGGUUAAUAAUGAAAAUAACAUUAAUAUAGAUUUAAAUAUCAAAAGUAUAAAACUACC